UACGUAGGGGGCAAGCGUUGUCCGGAAUCAUUGGGUGUAAAGAGCGUGUAGGCGGCCAGAUAAGUCCGCUGUGAAAUCUCGAGGCUCAACUUCGAGCUGUCGGUGGAAACUGUCUGGCUAGAGUCCGGAAGAGGAGAAUGGAAUUCCUGGUGUAGCGGUGAAAUGCGCAGAUAUCAGGAAGAACACCCGUGGCGAAGGCGGUUCUCUGGGACGGUACUGACGCUGAGACGCGAAAGCGUGGGGAGCGAACAGG
This 253-nucleotide ribosomal RNA is filed under the name uncultured bacterium. Its description in RNAcentral is "partial 16S ribosomal RNA". It matches the Rfam family "Bacterial small subunit ribosomal RNA", at positions 524 to 776 of the family's 1533-position model. The record is from RNAcentral.